Long non-coding RNA from Mustela erminea (ermine), 1305 nucleotides. RefSeq lists it as uncharacterized. The transcript is spliced from 5 exons. NCBI's taxonomy places the organism in Eukaryota, Metazoa, Chordata, Mammalia, Carnivora, Mustelidae. The record is from RefSeq and is a predicted model, not a curated record.
UCUCAGGGUCUGAUUCUCGACGAACUUCAAUCUCCCAUAAUGCUUCGUGAAUUCAUGGACCUCUGUUGCGGGACUACACGUCCCAUGAAACCCUACAGUAAAAGCUUGAAGUAACAUCACGGAGAAAGCAGUAAUUGUCUCAGGGCCAGUGGCGCAAUGGAUAACGCGUCUGACUACGGAUCAGAAGAUUCCAGGUCUUAUGAGUAGGUAGCUGUCCAAAGGAAGUGGAAGCUAAUUAUCUGGGCUGUGGACCAUCUGUGCUCCUGGCAUCUUCCUCCUGAUGUCGAGCUGGUGGCUGCUUUGUUGGUUGUUAACUAACCCAUCCAUGGCACUUUCUUGUGACUUCUAGAAACAGCAGGUACUAUGAGUCUGCCUAUAUGAGCCAGAGAGAAGCAGAAGCAAAGGAGUGAAAAAGAAAUAGAGCACCUGGUAAAGUCAGAGUUGGUGAAGAAGUCUGUCUUCUGUUCAGCCUCCCUCUGCCCUGCCCUCCAUGCUGAACUCUUGUGCUCAGAAGCAUGAGCCAGUGACCAACAGGCAGAACCUUGGAAACUUUUCUGGAAUGGAAAGAGUAUCCUCUCGCUGAGAAUUCUCCCCUUGCCCCUCCAGCCCCUUCCCCUCACAUUCCUCACCUCCAGGCCCAGUUCUUUUACCUGAUCCUGUUUUUGUGACCUUGUUUAAACACCUCCAGCCCAUUGUAAACACUCCUUUCAUGCUCAGCUCCUCCCUCAGCACUUACCUCCCUCCCCAGCACCCCUUCACUCACCUCUGUGCCUGCCCAGCCAGCUAAACUCUUCAACACCAAAAUAAUGGCCUGUUUGACCCUCCUACUGCUCCAAAUUGCUUCUGUACAAUCAAGGCUGUCCUGCAGCUACCAAAGUGGCAGAGUUACUGAGGCAAAAUAAUCUGUGCCGAUUUGCAUUCUCUUCCUUGUCAGCUCUAUUAUACAGUGUUUAUCUGUCAAAAUGAAUAGAAAGUAGAAACUGUUCUGGAACACAGGAAAAGAUGGAAAAUUACCCGAUUUGUUUACAAAGCCAGAACAUACCGAAUAGCAAAACCUGUCAGAAGAAGCCCCCUGCCCCAAAAAAAUCCUAUAGACCAAUCUCACUUAUGAAUAUAUAUGUAAAAAUCCUAAAAUAUUUAAGUUUAACACAUAAAAGACAGCAGUAUAUUAAUAUAAUAAUUACAUACCACAACCAAUUAGGGUUUAAUGUUGGAACUUAAGAUUAGGUCUGAAGAAAUUUAUUUAAAUAAAAGAUCAAAAAUAAACCAAACAAGGGACACCUGGGUGGCUCAGUGGGUUAAAGC